AUUUCAUCAGGCACUGGAGAGACCUGUGCUCAAGCAAUUAUUUCUCAAUGCAGAAAGUCUUCCAACUAGUAACUUGAACUAAAUAAUCUGUUUCAGGAAGAGGCUUUGUGCCCUUCUUACCGCUCUCCUUGCCUUGGCCCUCUUCCUCACACUUGCACUGGCUUGUGUUUUUCUGACCCUGCACCAAGCUGAUUCCGUUUACUGGAAACAAAAGAAGAUUAAACUGGAAAAAAGUGAUUAUAUUUGGAGAAGAUUCUGACUACAAUAUUAUGGGCUAGCCAGUGUGACAACAGCAAGAAGGCUUUGCUCAAAGGGAAGAAGGUCAAUAAAAUCCAGGCAUUUUGUAAGCUCAUCUUUCAGCUUCCUCCAAGAAAUGACUGCAAUAUCUUCUACCAUCUCCACAGGACUUAGAUUUCUGGAAACUUCAAAAAGAAACUUCUCAUAUUCCUCUCAAAAAUCUGUAGAGAAACUAUGAAGCUAUACAGCAGUUAAUAAAUGUGCUGCCCAGAAAGAUUUUAUGUGAUUCAGUAAGAGGAAAAGAAAGAAAGCUAAUGGUUGUCAGCAAGUAGUAAUCACUCCAGUGUUCAAAGUGUAUUCCAGAUGAACUCGAACAUUUUCUGUUUCUACUGAAGUCAAAGACAAUAUUUCUGUUGGCUGCAGUGAGAUGAGUUUUAAUGUCAUAAAUUCUGAACUGUUCUCUUUUUCAACCUAAAAUAAUAAAAUAUGGUAUUAUUUCAGAACCGAUAUCAGAUAACUGAUAUGUGGAUUCAUCAUUCAUUUUAACACUUAUCUGACUGUUUCCUCAUUCUACUGCCAAAGCUGGUUUAAAAGAAAAGAAAGGCACCUCCCAAGCUAUCUUCUCUUGAAAGGUCAUAUAAAGUUUUCCAUUUUUUAAGCUCUGCAGGAAACGGAACUUUAGGCUCAUUAAAACAAAACCACAGCAAGAACAACUCAUCUUCCUCACGCAACAGCAUCUCGGGGUGAGCACUGCAAUGACUCAUUGUUGCCUUUGGCACCCUGCAUGAGAUAGGCAUGUGUGGUGGGCAGGUAUGUGGGAGCAUUGGGUGCAUGGAAGCAGAUGGGCUAAAUGCCAAAGGCAUGCCAAAACAGUGACAUCCUCGGCGAAAUGGUUGGUAGGGAACAGGGCAGCUGCCUGGACACAAGCUACUGAAAGUAGGCAAGGCAUCCACUCAGUGCUGCAGAUACAACCUAGGACUUCGUGGACCCUUAUUCCCUCUAUGCCAGCAGCUGGAGGCUAGCCACAAUAUCCUAGAGUGUUCAAGAGGUCACCUAUAUAUGAAAACAUGCAUCUUUCUUGAAUAUAUACAAGCAAUAUUAUGUAGAAGUCAUGGUUGAAAGGUGUAACCCUCACAGAGAGCACACCUGUUGGUUUUCCUGAACAGAUUCUCCUCUGACACCUCUAAGUGGAUUAUGGGGUUCCAGUUUAGCCUCUUUUUAAGAAACAGGGUGUUUGUGUUGCUUUGUACUUUGCUGUAGUGCACCUCUGAACAGAUAGGAAGUGCCGUAGUGCAGCUGCCACUGCCUUACAGGCAGCUCUACGCCUAGUGCUCCUUGUGCCACAAAUACGGCCUUCACGUCAUCUCCUGCAAGAAGCUUUGCCUUAUUCCAUGAGUUUUGUCCCAUCUGCUCACCUUCAGGAUCCUUCUAAGACAGCAGUCCAUUCUUCUAUGGGCAUGCACAUAAGCAUUAGAUAUGUUGGUCAUUUUGGGGAUAGAUCAGAGGGAAUUGCAAGUUUUCAGCUUUGCACAUCUCUGUGAUACCCUGCGGCAUUUUUCUGUACUCUGCAAACAUUUCCUACAGUCAAUCAGAAAAGUGGCAGCCUGAGGUCUUUGGUGGAACUGUGUCCGGUGAGAGGACAAGAUGAACAUCUUCUGGGGUGAGAUGAAAGACGCCGUUCCCUGAAGGGUCUCGGAUGCAUUUGCUGCAGAAUAUGAAGGUUUCAGGGAUGAGUCAGAAGUUGAAAGGAAAGCAAGACUAGUGCCAUGGCAAAUGCAGCUGGACAUCACUGUGUCUCACAACCUGCAGGAGGCAAGACCUGAAAACAAGGUUUUCACAGCUUUGUUGGUCUUUGUGUUUUAGUUUCUUGUCUUGGACUAUUGAAUCUUAGCACUCAUCUGCAGCUGAAUGUUACCGGGAGUUGAACUUUCAAAAUAAAGUGUUGUAUUUUUAAUUUUCUAUUCCGGGUCAUGUUGGGAAAGGGUUUAGUAAGCAAUGCAGGGUGCAGCUCUCUGAAUGACAGUGCUAAUAAAAAUCCUGGCUAGACUGUCUGUAAGAAACCUCUGCUGUUCCUGUGCACUGAAUGAAGCAGGGAUCUCUUGAAAGGAAUACUAAUGCAGUGGUACCAUUAAAAAGGUGUAUUGUAAUAUACACACAACAGAGUGCCACGUUAAAGGCGGACUUAAUUCUGGCAUUUCAUGAUGUUAAAGCCUUGCAAUGUUAAUUUUCAUUAUUGUGUUGGGGUUCCUAACUUUACAAGAGAGAAGCUGGAAACACAGACUUCCUAUGUGAAUACCAGCAUGUGGACACUUAGGUGUUCAUCAGCAAGUUAGAUGCUUCAGAUUUGCUGUGCUGACCUCUGCCAUUUGGACACACACACCGAGAGAGGCUAUCCUCCCUGGGAGUCAGUCAAUUCCCAAAGGACCCUAAAAUGUGUAUUCCUACUGCCUCUCACAGAUUACUUGCCAGUAAAAUAAACCUUCUUAUUCCUGGCUCCAGAAGAAGUUGAUGUGAACUGAGCACAGGACUAUGUGGCUGUUUGCUUUUCACCAUUUCUUUGUGAUAAACGUGCACCUUAUGCAGGUCCAUCCAAUAAGUUGCUGUCUUCUAGUAAAAGCUCGUGGUGCUCUCUGGACAAGCUGGCUAAUUCCAUCUGCAUCACGUAGCUGUUCUUGUGCCUCCCGACAACCUCAGCUUUCUGCUUCAAUAUGGGACUGCCUGGGGUUGAAAGUAAUUCAAACUUGUGGUUGUUCUUUGUGUCUCUGUGUGUCAUACAAUGAUUAUGAGUAGCCAUAUAUAACCAUGGUUAUAUGGUUAUCAUGACAAACUACAUUACUGCAUAAGUCGGCAGCAGUGCUAUGAAAAGCAGUUCAUCAGUUCCUUAGUAGUUGGAAUAUGGUGACACUUGGAGUAAUCUAAGAGGAUCAAAUCUUCUUUAAGAAAACAAAUGAACAGAUCCUUUUUAUGAGUUACUUUUAAUUUUCCUUGACAUACCGACAAAUGAAGCCAGGACUUCUUUUGGGAGGAAAUUGAUCCACUUGUUAUCUCUGCUGACUGAGCUGUGUCAUGCUAUUUCACUGUGCUAAUAAGAAAGAUGGGUGACUCAGCAUCUGCAGCUUGCAAUUCAAUAUCAGGUGAAAAGUUGGACAGCAUGUCAACAUUUCAUCCUGAUGUUAAUGUAUUAUCUCAAAGAAAGUCCAAAGGGCAGCCUUCUGGAAUGUGAAUAGAUGAAUAUCUUUAACCUUAAUUAGUUUUACGUUGUCUGCUUGUUUUCUAGUUGGCACCUCUUCUUCCUAAAUGAUUAAAUUACUCACAUGAAUUAAAACAUCAAAUUUGCCACAGACUUUGCCUCUUUCCCACUGAGAGUGGUAGGAAGCGGUAUAAACCAGAAAAAAUGGAUAAUUGUGACAAUUGACAUUUUCUCUUCUGACUAGUGCGCUGGUUUGUUUUAAUCCUUUGCACUGUAAAUUAUUUCUAAAAGCUUCAAGUGGAAAAUUCAGCUGUAAACAGACUCCCAGUACUUACAGGCAGCACAGCUUGCACAGUAGUCACAGGAAAAAAAAAUAGCUGCAAGAAUUAAACUCAUAGGAAACUCAGGUGACUUUCUUUCUGAAGCAUAUGCCUGCUUGUGGGGAAAAAGGGGCUGGAGGAGGCAGUCUUGAGAUAUUUCCCAGGGAAUUCACAGGGUAGCAGCAGCUACAGAUCGGUGCCCAGGUCAGUGAGCAGUAUGGCCCAAGUCUACUAAUUAAUUUCACAAAGAAAUGAGAAUUUGUCAAGGUGCGUAGUCACUACCAAUUCUCUAUACCGUAACGCAUAUAGUAAGUCCUCUUCUCUCUAAAAAUAAUAAAAGAA
This is a long non-coding RNA of Anas platyrhynchos (mallard), 4089 nucleotides long. RefSeq lists it as uncharacterized. NCBI's taxonomy places the organism in Eukaryota, Metazoa, Chordata, Aves, Anseriformes, Anatidae. The record is from RefSeq and is a predicted model, not a curated record.